AAGUUAGAUAGGUUGUACUAGCCCAAACCCACAACUAACAGACAUUAUCCACUUUGACCUGUUACAUAUAGCCACCAGCCUCACGGUUUAAAACACAGGUUUCCACACCCUAAUAAGGAAUGUUUCGUUCUCCUCUCCAACCGAUGUGAGAUCUCACAAUCCAUCCCUCUGAGGGCCAGCGUUCUCACUGGUGCACUACUUGGUGUAUGGCUCUAGUACCAUUUGUAACAGCUCAAGCUCACCACUAGCAAAUACUAUCCAUUUUCACACAUUACGUAUUGCUGUCAGUCUCACAAUUUUAAAACCCAUCUACUAAGGAAAGGUUUCCACACCCUUAUAAGGAAUGCUUCAUUCCCCUUCUCAAUCGACGUGGGAUCUUAGAGAACCGUCUUGUGUGGUUCAUAAAAUUUAAACAGAUUUCAAACCAAGGCAAUGAAACCACACAACCAUUUUUCACUCUUA
Molecule: long non-coding RNA, 462 nt
Organism: Cucurbita moschata (crookneck pumpkin)
Lineage: Eukaryota; Viridiplantae; Streptophyta; Magnoliopsida; Cucurbitales; Cucurbitaceae
Exons: 2
Source: RefSeq, a predicted model, not a curated record